CUCCUGGAAACGGGUGGUAAUACCGGAUGCUCCGCCCCACCGCAUGGUGGGGUGGGAAAUGCUUUUUGCGGCAUGGGAUGGGGUCGCGUCCUAUCAGCUUGUUGGCGGGGUGAUGGCCCACCAAGGCGUUGACGGGUAGCCGGCCUGAGAGGGUGACCGGCCACAUUGGGACUGAGAUACGGCCCAGACUCCUACGGGAGGCAGCAGUGGGGAAUAUUGCACAAUGGGCGCAAGCCUGAUGCAGCGACGCCGCGUGCGGGAUGGAGGCCUUCGGGUUGUAAACCGCUUUUGUUCAAAGGCAAGGCACGGUCUUUUGGCCGUGUUGAGUGGAUUGUUCGAAUAAGCACCGGCUAACUACGUGCCAGCAGCCGCGGUAAUACGUAGGGUGCGAGCGUUAUCCGGAUUUAUUGGGCGUAAAGGGCUCGUAGGCGGUUCGUCGCGUCCGGUGUGAAAGUCCAUCGCCUAACGGUGGAUCUGCGCCGGGUACGGGCGGGCUGGAGUGCGGUAGGGGAGACUGGAAUUCCCGGUGUAACGGUGGAAUGUGUAGAUAUCGGGAAGAACACC
RNAcentral lists this ribosomal RNA (564 nucleotides) under uncultured bacterium. RNAcentral describes it as "bacterial SSU rRNA". It matches the Rfam family "Bacterial small subunit ribosomal RNA", at positions 147 to 710 of the family's 1533-position model. The record is from RNAcentral.